UACGUAGGGGGCUAGCGUUGUCCGGAAUCAUUGGGCGUAAAGCGCGUGUAGGCGGCCCGGUAAGUCCGCUGUGAAAGUCGGGGGCUCAACCCUCGAAAGCCGGUGGAUACUGUCGGGCUCGAGUACGGAAGAGGCGAGUGGAAUUCCUGGUGUAGCGGUGAAAUGCGCAGAUAUCAGGAGGAACACCAAUUGCGAAGGCAGCUCGCUGGGACGUUACUGACGCUGAGACGCGAAAGCGUGGGGAGCGAACAGG
This 253-nucleotide ribosomal RNA is filed under the name uncultured bacterium. RNAcentral describes it as "partial 16S ribosomal RNA". It matches the Rfam family "Bacterial small subunit ribosomal RNA", at positions 524 to 776 of the family's 1533-position model. The record is from RNAcentral.